Molecule: ribosomal RNA, 496 nt
Filed under: uncultured bacterium
Lineage: Bacteria
Description: partial 16S ribosomal RNA
Rfam family: Bacterial small subunit ribosomal RNA
Source: RNAcentral
GACGAACGCUGGCGGCGUGCCUAAUACAUGCAAGUUGAGCGCUGAAGGUUGGUACUUGUACCAACUGGAUGAGCAGCGAACGGGUGAGUAACGCGUGGGGAAUCUGCUUUGAGCGGGGGACAACAUUUGGAAACGAAUGCUAAUACCGCAUAAAAACUUUAAACACAAGUUUUAAGUUUGAAAGAUGCAAUUGCAUCACUCAAAGAUGAUCCCGCGUUGUAUUAGCUAGUUGGUGAGGUAAAGGCUCACCAAGGCGAUGAUACAUAGCCGACCUGAGAGGGUGAUCGGCCACAUUGGGACUGAGACACGGCCCAAACUCCUACGGGAGGCAGCAGUAGGGAAUCUUCGGCAAUGGACGAAAGUCUGACCGAGCAACGCCGCGUGAGUGAAGAAGGUUUUCGGAUCGUAAAACUCUGUUGGUAGAGAAGAACGUUGGUGAGAGUGGAAAGCUCAUCAAGUGACGGUAACUACCCAGAAAGGGACGGCUAACUACGUG